Molecule: ribosomal RNA, 447 nt
Filed under: uncultured bacterium
Lineage: Bacteria
Description: partial 16S ribosomal RNA
Rfam family: Bacterial small subunit ribosomal RNA
Source: RNAcentral
UCCAGACUCCUACGGGAGGCAGCAGUGGGGAAUAUUGCACAAUGGGGGGAACCCUGAUGCAGCGACGCCGCGUGGGUGAAGGAGCACCUCGGUGCGUAAAGCCCUAUCGGCAGGGAAGAAACAGACGGUACCCGACUAAGAAGCCCCGGCUAACUACGUGCCAGCAGCCGCGGUAAUACGUAGGGGGCAAGCGUUAUCCGGGUUUACUGGGUGUAAAGGGAGCGUAGACGGUGAAGCAAGUCUGAAGUGAAAGGCGGGGGCUCAACCCCCGGACUGCUUUGGAAACUGUUUGACUGGAGUGCAGGAGAGGUAAGUGGAAUUCCUAGUGUAGCGGUGAAAUGCGUAGAUAUCACGCAGAACCCCGAUUGCGAAGGCAGCCUUCCGGCGCCCUACUGACGCUGAGGCACGAAAGUGCGGGGAUCGAACAGGAUUAGAUACCCUAGUACG